This 345-nucleotide ribosomal RNA is filed under the name uncultured Gemmiger sp. RNAcentral's name for it is "bacterial SSU rRNA". It matches the Rfam family "Bacterial small subunit ribosomal RNA", at positions 356 to 718 of the family's 1533-position model. Lineage: Bacteria; Bacillati; Bacillota; Clostridia; Eubacteriales; Oscillospiraceae. The record is from RNAcentral.
UGGGAAUAUUGGGCAAUGGGACGCAAGUCUGACCCAGCAACGCCGCGUGGAGGAAGAAGGUUUUCGGAUUGUAAACUCCUGUCGUUAGGGACGAUAAUGACGGUACCUAACAAGAAAGCACCGGCUAACUACGUGCCAGCAGCCGCGGUAAAACGUAGGGUGCAAGCGUUGUCCGGAAUUACUGGGUGUAAAGGGAGCGCAGGCGGACCGGCAAGUUGGAAGUGAAAACUAUGGGCUCAACCCAUAAAUUGCUUUCAAAACUGCUGGCCUUGAGUAGUGCAGAGGUAGUGGAAUUCCCGGUGUAGCGGUGGAAUGCGUAGAUAUCGGGAGGAACACCAGUGGCGA